UACAGAGGUCCCAAGCGUUGUUCGGAUUCACUGGGCGUAAAGGGUGCGUAGGCGGUCGGGUAAGUCUGACGUGAAAUCUUCAAGCUCAACUUGGAAACUGCGUCGGAUACUAUUCGGCUAGAGGAAUGGAGGGGAGACUGGAAUACCUGGUGUAGCAGUGAAAUGCGUAGAUAUCAAGUGGAACACCAGUGGCGAAGGCGAGUCUCUGGACAUUUCCUGACGCUGAGGCACGAAAGCCAGGGGAGCAAACGGG
RNAcentral lists this ribosomal RNA (253 nucleotides) under uncultured bacterium. Its description in RNAcentral is "partial 16S ribosomal RNA". It matches the Rfam family "Bacterial small subunit ribosomal RNA", at positions 524 to 776 of the family's 1533-position model. The record is from RNAcentral.